AUGUGUGGCACCAGAAACCGAUCACUAGUGCUAACGUCAUUUAAGCGAGAGGCUGUACAAGGAUCUGUAGAGAUGGAACCCUUUGUCCUCAGUCCAGUUGUUAUCCUCUCCAAUACCAGGCUCCCAGGAGAGCAGGAAUCAGCAGCCUCAGCACAGAUGUCCGCCCGUGUCAUCAAUGUCUGCAUUCUAGGCAAGUGUCAGCAGCCCCUUGCUGUAACCUACUCAUUUGAAAAGACCCUGGCCCUUCCCCGGCUCCUCGGCACUGUUUUCUGGAAGCUUCGUGAAGGCGGUGGGUGCUUACGGUUGGUCACUGGUCAGGCGCAAUCCACGUCCAUCCGCCCUUCCCAAGCUUACGCAGACCCAUCCACGGUUGCCAUACCCAAGAAUGUAGCCCCCUGGACCUGGCCGCCCGCCGGGGCUGUCGGGGCUGCUGGCGGCCGCGGGAAGAGCGCGUAUCAGGACCGCGAUAAGCCGGCCCAGAUCCGCUACAGCAACAUCUCCGCAGCCAAAGCUACUAGCUGAUGCUAUUAGAACAAGCCUUGGACCAAAAGGAAUGGAUAAAAUGAUUCAAGAUGGAAAAGGUGAUGUGACCAUUAUAAAUGAUUUCACCAUUCUGAAACAAAUGCAGGUGUUACAUCCAGCAGCCAGAAUGCUGGUGGAGCUGUCCAAGGCUCAGGAUAUAGAAGCAGGAGAUGGCACCACAUCAGUGGUCAUUAUUGCUGGCUCUCUCUUGGAUUCCUGUACCAAGCUUCUUCAGAAAGGGAUUCAUCCCAGCAUCAUUUCUGAGUCAUUCCAGAAGGCUUUGGAAGAGGGCAUUGAAAUCUUGACUGACAUGUCUUGACCUGUGGAACUGAGUGACAGAGAAACUGUUAAAUAGUGCGACCACUUCAUUGAACUCAAAGGUUGUGUCUCAGUAUUCAAGUCUCCUUUCUCCAAUGAGUGUAGAUGCAGUGAUGAAAGUGAUUGACCCAGCCACAUAUACUAGUGUACAUCUUAGAGAUAUUAAAAUAGUUAAGAAGCCUGGUGGGACAAUUGAUGACUGUGAGUUGGUGGAAGGUCUGGUUCUUACUCAAAAGGUAGCAAAUUCUGGCAUAACCAGAGUUGAAAAGGUUAAGAUUGGGCUUAUUCAGUUCUGCUUAUCUGCUCCCAAAACAGAUAUCGACAAUCAAAUAGUGGUUUCUGACUAUGUUCAGAUGGAUCCAGUGCUAAGAGAAGAGAGAGCUUAUAUUCUAAAUUUAGUGAAGCAAAUGAAAAAAACAGGAUGUAAUGUUCUUCUCAUACAGAAGUCUAUUCUAAGAGAUGCUCUUAGUGAUCUUGCAUUACAUUUCCUGAACAAAAUGAAGAUUAUGGUGGUAAAGGAUGUUGAAAGAGAAGACAAUGAAUUCAUUUGUAAGACGAUUGGAACCAAACCAGUUGCUCAUGUUGACCAGUUCACUGCCAACAUGCUGGGAUCUGUCGAAUUAGCUGAGGAGGUCAGCUUAAAUGGUUCUGGCAAACUGAUCAAGAUUACAGGCUGUGCAAGCCCUGGAAAAACAGUUACAAUUGUUGUUCGUGGUUCUAACAAAUUGCUGAUUGAAGGAGCUGAGGGUUCCGUCCAUGACGCUCUCUGCGUUAUUCGCUGUUUAGUGAAGAAGAGAGCACUCAUUGCAGGAGGUGGUGCUCCAGAAAUAGAGUUGGCCCUCCGGGUAACUGAAUACUCACGAACAUUGCGUGGUAUGGAAUCCUACUGCAUUCGUGCUUUUCCAGAUGCUAUGGAAGUCAUUCCAUCUACAGUAGCUGAAAACGCUGGCCUGAAUCCCAUUUCUACUGUAACAGAACUAAGAAACCGGCAUGCCCAAGGAGAAAAAUUGACGUCCGAAAGGGUGGUAUUUCCAACAUAUUAGAGGAACUGGUUGUCCAGCCCCUGCUGGUUUCAGUCACUGCUCUGACUCUAGCAACUGAAACUGUCCGGAGCAUUCUGAAAAUUGAUGAUGUGGUAAACACUCGGUAAUCUGGUUAACACUGG
Molecule: RNA transcript, 2005 nt
Organism: Cervus elaphus (red deer)
Lineage: Eukaryota; Metazoa; Chordata; Mammalia; Artiodactyla; Cervidae
Gene name: T-complex protein 1 subunit delta-like
Exons: 2
Source: RefSeq, a predicted model, not a curated record